RNAcentral lists this long non-coding RNA (361 nucleotides) under Lonchura striata (white-rumped munia). Its description in RNAcentral is "domestica (Bengalese finch) lncRNA (ENSLSDG00000011630.1)". Lineage: Eukaryota; Metazoa; Chordata; Aves; Passeriformes; Estrildidae. The record is from RNAcentral.
GAGGAGCACAGGCACAGCUCUGCCUCUGUCACUGCCAGCUCGCGGUGAUUGCGUGUCCUGGCAGUGGGAAAGUAUCGUAGAGGAGUAUGAAGAUGAAAUAUUCUCACUUAUCGCCCAAGAGGCAGACUAUCUAGCUGACAAGCUGUGCAGUGAAAAAUCAGUGGUAUAUGCAAGUGUAUUUGCCAAGGUGGGAGAAAGAGGGGAAAGGCUGCUUCACAGAAGGUGGAGAACAGGAAGAGGAGCCAGGCCAAGGAGCCCAGGUAAAUGGAAGAGUCUUUGGGAGCUGAUACAAAGGUUUGCAGAGAGUAAGAGGAGCCUAUUUUAACUAUCUUUCUAUAGGAUAAAGACUUUGUUGGGCAGA